Molecule: ribosomal RNA, 386 nt
Filed under: Scopulariopsis brevicaulis (arsenic fungus)
Lineage: Eukaryota; Fungi; Ascomycota; Sordariomycetes; Microascales; Microascaceae
Description: eukaryotic LSU rRNA
Rfam family: Eukaryotic large subunit ribosomal RNA
Source: RNAcentral
UUGAGUCGAGGUGUUUGGGAAUGCUGCUCAAAAUGGGAGGUAAACCCCUUCUAAAGCUAAAUACUGGCCAGAGACCGAUAGCGCACAAGUAGAGUGAUCGAAAGAUGAAAAGCACUUUGAAAAGAGAGUUAAAAAGCACGUGAAAUUGUUAAAAGGGAAGCGCUUGCGACCAGACUUGCGCCCGUCGGAUCAACCGUCGCUUGCGGCGGCGCACUCCGGCGGGCUCAGGCCAGCAUCAGUUCGUCCGGGGGGAGAAAGGCGGCGGGAAUGUGGCUCUUCGGAGUGUUAUAGCCCGCCGUGUAAUACCCUCGGGUGGACUGAGGACCGCGCGUAUGCAAGGAUGCUGGCGUAAUGGUCGUCAGCGACCCGUCUUGAAACACGGACCC